CUACGGGUUGCUCCAGUGGGGAAUAUUGGACAAUGGGGGAAACCCUGAUCCAGCAAUGCCGCGUGUGUGAAGAAGGCCUGCGGGUUGUAAAGCACUUUCGGUUGGGAGGACUGCUUCUAGCACUAAUAUUGUUGGAAGUUGACGUUACCUUCAGAAGAAGCGCCGGGUAACUCCGUGCCAGCAGCCGCGGUAAUACGGAGGGUGCAAGCGUUAAUCGGAAUUACUGGGCGUAAAGCGCGCGUAGGCGGCUAGAUCAGUCGGGUGUGAAAGCCCCGGGCUUAACCUGGGAACGGCAUCCGAUACUGUCUAGCUUGAGUACAGGAGAGGAGAGUGGAAUUCCACAUGUAGCGGUGAAAUGCGUAGAUAUGUGGAGGAACACCAAUGGCGAAGGCAGCUCUCUGGCCUGAUACUGACGCUGAGGUGCAAAAGCGUGGGGAGCAAACAGGAUUAGAUACCCGAGUAGUC
This 465-nucleotide ribosomal RNA is filed under the name uncultured bacterium. RNAcentral's name for it is "partial 16S ribosomal RNA". It matches the Rfam family "Bacterial small subunit ribosomal RNA", at positions 339 to 795 of the family's 1533-position model. The record is from RNAcentral.